Molecule: ribosomal RNA, 440 nt
Filed under: uncultured bacterium
Lineage: Bacteria
Description: partial 16S ribosomal RNA
Rfam family: Bacterial small subunit ribosomal RNA
Source: RNAcentral
CCUACGGGUGGCAGCAGUGGGGAAUAUUGCACAAUGGGGGAAACCCUGAUGCAGCGACGCCGCGUGAGUGAAGAAGUACUUCGUUAUGUAAAGCUCUAUCAGCAGGGAAGAAAAUGACGGUACCUGAGUAAGAAGCCCCGGCUAACUACGUGCCAGCAGCCGCGGUAAUACGUAGGGGGCACGCGUUACCCGGAUUUACUGGGUGGAAAGGGAGCGUAGACGGCAGUGCAAGUCUGGAGUGAAAGGCGGGGGCUCAACCCCCGGACUGCUCUGGAAACUGUACGGCUGGAGUGCAGGAGAGGUAAGUGGAAUUCCUAGUGUAGCGGUGAAAUGCGUAGAUAUUAGGAGGAACACCAGUGGCGAAGGCGACUUACUGGACUGUAACUGACGUUGAGGCUCGAAAGCGUGGGGAGCAAACAGGAUUAGAUACCCCUGUAGUC